UAUAUAUAAAGUACAACGAACAAAUAAAAGGUGAUGCGAAUGAAACAAACUUGGUGUACAAGCUGAUUUUUUUCUCAGCUUUGUCAUAUGCCGGCAAAACGUCUGGUGAAGGAUUUUAGUGUCAAGCAGCUACGGUUAGCUUACAGGAGGAAGGCGAGGAGUAUACGCCGCGUCAAGGACUUUACGCUAACUUAGUUGUAGGAAGACGGAAUUUCGUUACGUCGCUCGUUUAUCAAUAUUUUUAUCCUCACUACAUUGGUAAAUAAGCGAAUAAAGUAUCGUAUCAUUUAUGGCCACUAUUUAAGCAAGUUACGGGCGCUCAUUUAUUCGUAAGCUAGAAUAUCUUGAGAAGUAAGUAGCAAGACAAAGAAUUCGCCUACUUGUUUGAAAAUGCCUCACCGUUUUCCGAAUGUUGUAUGUUUAUUCAGAAACAUCCAGACAUGGUCCGGCCCAUCAGAUGAGUGGCAAGACAAGCUCAUCCGAAAAGAAAAACCCCGCGUGACGAAAUCG
Listeria monocytogenes is the source of this 510-nucleotide non-coding RNA. The record is from Rfam. NCBI's taxonomy places the organism in Bacteria, Bacillati, Bacillota, Bacilli, Caryophanales, Listeriaceae.